UACAAAAAAAAAAAAAAUUAAGAAAAUUUUGAAGGAUUCUCGGCCAAGUUGAAUCUUGCCGAGAAUUGAGAAGUUGAAGGAGGAAAUUGUAUAUUUCAAAUUGUUGUAUAUAUUCAAGGAUUCCAACGUGAAUUGAUUUUCGGAGUCAAGUUGAGAAAGGCUAAAAGAGCGACGAGGCGAACGGAUUUACCAAUAGCCUCUAACAGGUACAGACGCUCGUUUCGGAGAUCCGCCAGCCUAGGAUAUCUAUUCAGCUAUUUUGGAGUGCUUCUUUGUUCCGGAGCCUAGCUUUGUGGUAUAGAUCCCUUUUGUUGUAUAUAUAUGUGUUUGUUCAAGGUACGGCGGGGCCCUGUCCCGUCAUAUGAUAUUGUUGUUACUCUUAGAGGUCUGUAGACAUAUGUGUGGGUCUGUAUAUAGUUGUUGUUUCGUUGUGUGGACAUGACUUAUGUGUGGGGCGUACCCAUUCGUAGUGGCAGCCUUGUCGGCUUGCGUAGAUAUAUAUAUAUAUUUGUUGUGGAAGGUGUGUAUAAUGGUAGCCUUGUUGGCUUAUGUAUUACUGGGACGUUCCCCUAUAUAUGACAGCCUUGUCGGCUUAUGUGUGAUAUAAUCUGUUGAA
Lycium barbarum (goji berry) is the source of this 616-nucleotide long non-coding RNA. RefSeq lists it as uncharacterized. Lineage: Eukaryota; Viridiplantae; Streptophyta; Magnoliopsida; Solanales; Solanaceae. The transcript has 3 exons. The record is from RefSeq and is a predicted model, not a curated record.